UACGUAGGACCCAAGCGUUAUCCGGAGUGACUGGGCGUAAAGAGUUGCGUAGGUGGUUUGUAAAGCGAAUAGUGAAAUCUGGCGGCUCAACCGUACAGGCUAUUAUUCGAACUCACAAACUCGAGAAUGGUAGAGGUUACUGGAAUUUCUAGUGUAGGAGUGAAAUCCGUAGAUAUUAGAAGGAACACCAAUGGCGUAGGCAGGUAACUGGACCAUUUCUGACACUAAGGCACGAAAGCGUGGGGAGCGAACCGG
RNAcentral lists this ribosomal RNA (255 nucleotides) under uncultured bacterium. RNAcentral describes it as "partial 16S ribosomal RNA". It matches the Rfam family "Bacterial small subunit ribosomal RNA", at positions 524 to 776 of the family's 1533-position model. The record is from RNAcentral.